ACUCUAUUUUUGUAUAUCUUUUUUUGUUUGAUAUAUUUUUAGGUUAGUCUUUGUAAAAUGUGGUAAUUUUUUUUUAUUUUGAAAGGAUAUUAAAAAUUUGAAUAUUGAACUGGAUUAGUACCCAGGUAGUCAAAAGUAAUUAAUUCGGGAGUAAAGUUGUAUUUAAACCGUAAAAAUAUUGGCUGACUUUAAAUUUUUCUUUGGAACAUGUGUGUGGAGAGUCCUCCUUUAUAGUGAAUCUUUUAGGUACAUGUAUGAUUGUUUAGUUUUUAUUAUUUCUGUAAAGCUAUGAUUAGGUUAAAACAGAUAUAUACUUGGCAUAUAGAUUUAUUUCUCAUGUGUUACUAUUAGUAAGUUUUUGGAUAAAUUUUUAAUUUUUUUUUGAAAUUGGAAAAGACAGUAAUUUUUUCUUAAUGUAAAAAUGAAUUUAAUAAUUAAAGUGGUACAAA
This 449-nucleotide ribosomal RNA is filed under the name Rumenfilaria andersoni. Its description in RNAcentral is "partial 12S ribosomal RNA". Lineage: Eukaryota; Metazoa; Nematoda; Chromadorea; Rhabditida; Onchocercidae. The record is from RNAcentral.